This 8764-nucleotide long non-coding RNA is filed under the name Brassica napus (rape). Its description in RNAcentral is "long non-coding RNA (BNAP_LNC003880)". The record is from RNAcentral. Lineage: Eukaryota; Viridiplantae; Streptophyta; Magnoliopsida; Brassicales; Brassicaceae.
GCGGAGGAAGCUUUGAGUGAAUUAAAGAAGAGGGAGAUGGAGUUGGAGGUGAGGAAGGAGGAGUUGUUGAAGAAGGUUGAUGAAGGUGAGAAGACGCUGCUUGUGUUGAACGAGAGGAUCAUGGAGGAGCCUACUACUAAUGGAGUCAGAGACAUAAAGGAUUGUGACCAAGAAUGUUUACAGUUGCAGUGGCCAGUGGUUGCUGCUGGUUCGGUGGGAGCUUUGGGUUUGGUAGCAGCGACAGUGUUUGUUGUAUGCUACUCAAAACGGACUUGAUUCAGUAAUAUUGAGGAGCUGAAGACCAUAACUUUUUUGCAGUUCUGCAUUCAUAUAGGUGCCCCAUAACUUUUUGGUCUCUGAGUUUGUGAUGUUUUUGUUUACUUGAUAUGUUUUGUUUGUUUGAGAUGAUUGAUGAAUCUUUGGCUUUUAGGCUAUGAAUGCAUUUGAUAUCGCUUUGUCAUCACAACUAACUGUUUCUGAAUUAUAAAGAUAGACUUGUUGCUAAUAGAUUGUUUGACAGUACAGAACAUGAACAACAUACUAUUAUAAACCAUGAUGUGAUCAUGUGAUGGUUACUAGAAUAUGUCACAUGUCUAAUUUCUAUGAACAUGUGGCUCUGAGCUCUGGGUGUAGUGCACUAGUGCUUAUGUUCCUAUUCCUUAUUUUCUGCAAAUAUACAUUCAUUGUAGAUUAGGAUUAGGUACCAGACCAUAGUCUCUAGGUGAACUUGUUCUCGUACCUGUAUUCUAUGGAUCAUCAGCCCGGAGAAGCUCAAGGAGUCCGCAGCAGUUCCUCCACGAAGUUAGUUGCUGCACGGGUUGGUUAAGGCGCAGUAGAGGCAUCUGAAAAAAGAAAACAUAGGCUAGUGUCUUAGUAAACAAACGAGAAUAGCUAGAGCUACAACAACUUAUUGUUGCGUAUAGAGAGAGAGAUUUGUUGUUUGCUUGUUUAGGGUUGAGUUAACCUGGUUCUCAUCUUUAGGUAGAUGAGCAGGUUCUUCCACAUGAGCUGAAACAGGUAAGGACCCGUCAAAGUAAUAACUGGAAAGGUCAGAGUCACUGGAUGAGUCAACACUAUCCUCUUUUGAAUCUGAUGAUGACCUGACUCCUUCAAGUAUUACAGAAAAAUCCAAAUCCUCUGCGCCUGGACCGGAGAUCUCGCUGGUAUCAGUCAUACUAUGAAACUCUACGUUUGUUUGUUCUGUUUUAGCAGGAGUGUCUUCAGGGAACUGUAGUACCAUCUCUUCAGAUUUGUUCGGAUAUGGAAAGUUGUUGGUCUUGGCUACCUUUGGUCUCAGGCUGCUACUACGUCUAAAAAGCUCUAGAACCUCCUCGUCUUCCAUUUCAUACUCACUGACAUCAUGAUCUUCAAAGUUAGCCGUCUGUGAGUUAGAUGGACCCGUGGAGCCUUCUUCUGUGAUCCUUUCAUCUUCCUUAACAUUCCUCGUCUCCUCAGUUGAGUUGCUUGCUUCUCCAAUGGUCUUCUCCUCGUCUUCACCUACUUUUUCCAUCUCUCUUCUGGUAUGCUUCAGCUCUCUCUCUCUUUCCUUCUUUGUUCUGUUUCUGCGUUCACAAACUCAAGCUAUCUAGAAGGUCGCUUCAUAUGUUUAGUUGCAACGUCAUCGUUCAAACAACGAAUGCAAAGUACCAAAUAUAUGAACCAAAGAAGAAAAUAAAGAAGAUAAAAAAAGUAAAAAAAUAUUGGGAAGUUUGAAGAGUAGGUGAGAGGACAAAAGGAAUGGUUGAUGGACUAAAGUAGCAGAUGUGCACACAGUUGUCUUGACUAGUUGGUUCGCUGUUGUCAUGACAGUUUUCAAAGAUAGCUACUCUUACAAACAGAACAUAAAAAAAUUCAUUUAGUCAAUAAAUUGAAUCAGUUUCACAUAUAUUGGUUUAGUUUCUGUCCAUAGUUUAUGAAAGACAGGAUGAGUCUUCCGUCCUCUUCCGGAACUCUGUGUUUCAAACGAACAAGUAUUUGUUUUUGAAUUUAGCAUACCAUACAGACUACAACAAACUCAUGGCUCUAGUCUAUCAUAAUGACACCUUGGGGGAAAUUUUGAUAGGCAUUCCUAGUGAUGGAAACGGGAGAGGAUCCAUGCUGAUUGUCUCAUCAGGAUAGACCAAGGACCAAUCAUAACUUGUCACAACAAAAUGCAAGAAAACGAGGAUGCUGACUUUUGCUAGCUGGUGACCUGCACAAAGCCUUGGUCCUCCUCCAAAUGGAAGAUAUGUAUAUGCUUGUACCGCCUUAUCAAACCUUGAAGGAUUAAAACUCAUUGGAUCUUCAAAAAUCUCAGGAUUGUAAUGAGUUCCAUAAGUUGUCCACAGUACCUGCACUCAAAAACAAAGUAUUACAUUAGUAUUUAUUUCUUGAUUUAAAAACUGAAAAGAUCUAUAUAUAGAGAUGAUGCUGCUUCACCUUCCAGCCUUUUGGGAUAGUGAAUCCUCCAUAGUUGAUAUCAACAACUGCUUUUCUGAAGGAACCAAAGAUUGGAGGUGAUAAUCUCAUUGUUUCACGAACAACUUGCCAGCUAUACUUCAUCUUCUUCACAUCUUCAACCGUGAGGUACUCUCCUUCCCCUUUGUUUGCUUUUAUUUGAACAUGUUCUGAGAUGAAAUCAAGAGAGUUGAGUAUGAUUUUUUUUUUUUUUUUUGCUGAAUUAUGUUUUGUUUGUUACCUUUAAGGAGAGUGUCAAGGCAAGUUGGAUGCUGAGCCAACAUCUUGAAAGUCAUGGCCAUGGCGUAAGAGGUUGUGUCAUGAGCUGCAAACACUAGCAAAACCAUAUUGUCUACAACCUCUUCUUCGGUUAUGUCUCCUUUGAUCAAUCCUUGUACUAGCCUUGAGAAUAGUGUUGUGUUUGGUCUCUCAGCUUCUUCUUCUUCUUGUUCCAUUUCUCUUCUCUUCUCUCUGACUUUCUCAACUAGCAAUGUCUCAAUCUCUAGCCUAGCUUUCUUCGCUCUAGCAAACCUAGAACAAGGAAACUCAACAGGCAAAGCGAAAACUCCUUCAAGAACCCUCUCAAAGAUCUCUAACAUCCCAAGCUCCACUUUGAUCCCAUACAAACACUCAAAGACCACAGUAAACGUUAGAGCUUUUGUGGAACGGUAGAGACUAAUCUCUUCCUUGCCUCGCCAUUGGGUUUCAAGAUGAGACCGGACAGUGUCACAUAGGUUAGGUAAUAAGGACUCUAACCCAUUGUAGCUAAGGCUAUUAGCUACAAUCCCUCUAAGGACUCUAUGCUUCUCGCCUUGCUUAGCCAUGAUGCAGUUCAUGCCCAUUAGCUGAACAGAAGAAGAAGGCCAUGAGCUCACCACUAAGCUAAACUCGUUAGAUAAUAUUAGCCUAUUGGCUUCAGCUCCAUUGACUACUAUUGUUGGUGAUCCCAUGAUUUUUGUCUUGAAGAGGUUGCCAUGUUUGAUGAUUCUUGGAUUCACGAAAUCUUCAAACACUCUGUUGUUUUUCUGAGCUUUGUAGAACUCCAUUGUUUCACCUAUCCAUGGAAGCCCCAUUUCUCCAGGGGGAAGCUUCUUCUUGGGCUGCUGCAGCUUCUUUGAUCUGAACUUGUGCUGUUUCUUGCGGAAGAAGAAAAGUGUGCUGGAGAUUGUUGCAGCUAUGCAUAGGAAGAUCCAUGAGAGAAGGAAGUUUGGUUCUAGAGCCAUUUUGUUUUUGUUUGGUUACUUAAUUAACCAAUUGUUAAUAAUCAAGUUUUGCAAAAACCUGGAUUAUGAGCUGAGUAUUUAUAAGUGGAGAUUUUUUUUUGUGAAUGUUAAGGUCAAACCAAGUGAUAUUAUUCUAGUUUUUUUCUUUGUUUUUAGACUUUUUAUUCUUCUUUGGGGGUGGCUCUGACACAUGAUUGAUCUUCAAGAUACAGUUCCUUAAGAGCUCAGGCUGCACUAUCUUUUUCAUUUUUAAUACAACAGACGGUGACACUAAACAUGUUAUGCAGCUGCAUAUACACAUGUAUUAAGGUGAUUAUGGAAUUAAAUAUGAAUAUAACUCAUGUUUCAUUACAUAAUAGAAAUCAUUAUUGAAGUAAUAGUUUUUUUUUGUAACUGAGGCUUUCAAAUUGAAGUAAUAGUUACCCUAUUGAAAUUGGUCUGGCUCAUUUUCUCUAUAGACUAAAGUAGUGAAUCUUCAAAGAAACUAGUAUUUCCAUAGCAUGUAGUAUGUUCUUUACAUUAAACAGAAAAUUUUGAUAAACAAAUCCAAUACUUUUCCUGAGAAAAAAAAAAAAAGAGAAAAUGUUUUAUAUACUGACAGUAUCAAAGAACGGCUAGUUGGUGGAAAAAGAAAAAUUAUUGCUAAAACAUUGCUAGAUUUAUUGGUCUAUGCCAUAUGGAAAUAAUGUAUCUUCGCAUCUCUAAAAAUUUAGCAAUUCAUCUUUGUAGAUCUACUAUAUAUGUGUAUUAUCUAUCUACAAAUAAUUUAGAUCUAAAUAUAUUAGUUAAAUUUACAAUACAACUAACAAAAUUAUUUCUUAACAACUAAACAACUAUAGGUUGACUUUUUAAUGUAUUUUCUUGUUUUUAUUGAAUUUUGGGUGAGACAGAAAGAGAGACAGUUGCAUGUGCUUGGGAGUUGGAAUAUGCUAUAACCAAGACUGUGAAUGAAUGUAUAACAUAUGAAUCUGAUCCGCAUAAUCUCCCUCUUAAAUAAUUUCAUAAUAUUUUAUAUUCAUGUGUUCAUAAUAAUAGCACAGUAUAGUUUAAACACACUUGCUGACGAAAUGUUCCAUUAGAUUUAUAGCAUUACUGGGAAAAUGAGAUUAUACGCGAAUCCCUAAAGAUCUGCUGUGGCCGGCUGCUUCUGUUAUGUCCAAGUUACGUUGCAAACUGCGCGGGUUAAUCGAAUUAUUCAUCACAUUUUAAGGUUUCUAGUACGUGCAUAAGAUUAGUUCUUUGUGUACACUUUAGGGAGUUUAUCACGCUCGAACGUUACAUUAUUCUCAAACUGAUAAACUGUAUGUACAUUAUUGGUUGAUUCUUGAAAUUUAAGCACUUAAUUUUUCUUGGCAUUGUUCAUGCAUCUAAGAUAAAAUUAUAUGUUUGAUAGGAGAAAGGAUAGUUUAGAAUAAGUAAAUAACGAAUAACUGGUUAGGAAGUCGCUUUUAAGAGAUUCCUUCUUAAUAUAUAGUGCAUGUAUGAGCAAUAUCAAAAGAAUUUAAAAGGGUUUCCUAACCUUGUAGCGGCACUAAGCAUAUAUGAUGCUACUUUACGUCGUCGGUUUGCAGAACAAAGUAAUUAACAUUAAAAAAAAAGAGUCUUAGUUGAAUUAUUCACAUUAGGCGAUUAUCUUAAGCUGUGAUUUGUCUUGUAAACCUAUUAUUAGAAGAGUAGGAGCCGCAAGAAAAGGUGAUGAUGAUGAUGGUUGACAUUGACAACAACAAUUAUACAACGUGAUGAUGGUCGACAAUCAUCAUCAACGGUAUUGUUAUAUCUAUGAUCAGUUAGCAAACCCUACUAAAAUUACAUAUUUAAUAAUUCAAAACGUUUUACUCGAAAAAUGCAAUUAUAACUUCUGCAUACAGUUAGGCACAAACAUAUUAUUUGCAUGUGUAUAUUAUAAGUAUAUAGACUUUGAUUCCUUGAAUGGUCGGGGAUUUAAUUUAGUACGUUUGGUUAGUUGGAUCGCUUUGAACGCUUCGAGUUAAACUGGUCUGUAUGUGUGUUGCUGCCCUAGUUUUUGGAGUGAUUCAGAUUGAACCGUUCUAACCAUUAGUGGAAAUCACCAAACUGUAUCCUAUCAAAGUUGAUUUUACCAUUUGCCAUUUCUGAUGGAUUACACCGCUUUAACAACAUCGACAUACGGGGAGAUGCUUGUUUCUCACAAUAACUCAGUUACCUUUCUAUUGCUUUGGCCUAUGAGUCAACUAAUGCAUACACAUUACAAGUCUGUAGUCUUCUAAGCCUAAUACAAUAAGAGAAGAAGAUAAGUAUGCGAAUAUAUUCUGUAUUUAUCCUAAUAAAGAAACAAAUCAUCUACCGUAUAAGACAUCUCUAAGUGUCAACGGACUUGAAAUGAUAUACCAACUAACAGACUUUCAAAUGUCACUUUUUGGCUCUUGCGUAUAUUUCUCAAAACCGGAAUAUUUAAUUAGUAUUGGAAAUGUAAAUGAUGAUUUUAUUUUAGUUUAUUUUCAAAGUUACACAUGUCAUACCGUAACAUCACAAUGGGAUAAUGUUUAUUCACGUGGUGUCUAGUGUCUAAGUGGGUGAAGGACGCUAAUCAUGAGUUUGUACUAAUUAACAAACCCGUAAUUCCCAUGGCCCUAAUCAAAAUAUGUCGGACGCGACAAUAUAUAUUGUGUCCGGGUCCUUAGUUAAGCCAUUUGCUUUGGGAACCUAGCUCCUAAAUUCAAUUUAAUCCUGAAAGAAGAGCAUUCAACCAAUAAAUUUUAAAAUAAAUAUAUGUAGUUAAUUAGAAAAGCAAUCACUAAUUUAAAUAUCAAAUGGCAUUAGCGGAAAAACAGUUUGUCGUUUGUUAAUCUAAAGUGAAUAGAAGAAAAAAACCAAUCGAUGUUGUAGAUGGGUUUGAACUGAAAUGGUGGAAAAGUGGUUGAGUAGAGUUUUAUGAGUUCACUACCAUAAUAAUAAGAAAAUAAUCCCAAAUGCAAACUCCAAAUAACUUCAAAUAUAAAAACAAGUCCUAACAAAUUAAUCAGAUCACAAUAGUAAAAGAAAAUGCAGAAGCCAGCGAACCUAUACAGUAAGAGAAGUGAAUUAUUUUGUGAAGCAUCAACAUAAAUGGUUAUAAUUCUCAGACCCACCUAAACCUACACAUUAUUACUACAAUUUUUAUCUUUCGUUUGAUCUUUUGUUUUUCAUAUUUUUCAGUCUCUAAUCAAUUUUUUUUCAUCUCCUCUUAUUUCUUCUUGUGGGUCCUCUUCUCCCUGACCAGUGACCUCUGUGCAUCUCCACGUUUUACUAAUAGCUUUGCUGUAUCUACUGUUACCACUCUUAUUAUUACUCAAACUUAAAUGUCACUUAAAUGCAAACUAUAUAUUUAGGUGAAAACCAAAUCAAAUAGCAAUAAAAAAACACUAAGCACACCAAUGAUUUAUGUCCUGUCCACAAGUCGAGAAGAGUCAAGUGACCUUAGCUUGUCUUCUCUUUUAACGUCAGGCGACUACUAAUUUAAGUAUCUCCUUAACUAAAUCUUAGAGAAGCACAAAGACAAAGGGUCUACGUUAAGUCUACCUAGAUUCUUGAUUAGAGGCUUGCCCUACAUUGUAAUCACUCAUAAGAGUGGAAACUUACUUGGGAUUAAUUAGGUUCACAUGAUACCAGAGCUAGCUUGCAUUUUCAGAUACAAAUGUGAAAGGUGUCAUGCAAUAAAACAUAAGCAAAUGUGCAAAAAAAAAAAAAAUAUAAGCAACGUACUGAGUUUAAUGAAAAAACGUAAACAGUAAUACGGAUAGCGAGAUAAAUCAUUCAUAUGGGAGACAGCUUCUCAUACGCGUCCAUGCCUUUGCAUGAAAAAUUAACUUUGACUCUUCUUUCUAGUAUUUUGUUUUCUUGUUUUAAUUGUGAUUCAGAAUUCCAAGUGUUAUUGCAAUCACUAGGGGUAAUAAAUGGGAUAGUAUAAAUGCACCUGCAACAUAUCAACUAACCACACACAACUCCACCUGUUUGUAUUUACUUCAAAAACAUUCAAAAACCCUUUGCUUCCCUCUAUUUAUAAAUCCUAGUUUCCGGUUUCAUUCUACCACACAACACCAUUUGCACAAACACUUCUGCUUUCUCUUUGUUUUAAAAAUGAGAGGGAUGAAGAAUCUUACCAUUUGGGCUGUCUUUGUUGCUUUACUCUCCCAGCAGCUGUUUGCUUCUGUUGCUUCCAUAAAGUUUGAGGAUAAGAAAACAUACUACUCUCCUCCGGACCCCAAUGCAGGAUCUCCUCCCUCUGGUAAGCAAAAAAAAAAAAAACACAUACACACAUGCACUCCCAACUUUGUAUGCAUUAAUAAGAAUCUUGAUUUUAGUAUUUUUACUUGACUGAUCAUUGUUAUUGUGUGACAUGCAGGAACUCCUCCAUCACACGGAGGAUACACUCCAACCCCUUCAACUCCAUCACAUACCCCUCCUUCUAACUGUGGAAGUCCACCUUACGACCCAAGUCCUCCAUCUCACACUCCAACUCCUUCUACUCCAUCUCACACUCCUUCAACUCCAUCUCACACUCCCUCAACUCCUUCUCAUACUCCAACUCCUUCGACUCCAUCUCACACACCAACUCCAUCACACACUAGUCCUCCUUGCCACUGUGGAACUCCACCUUCACACCCUUCCACACCUUCACGGCCUUCAAGGCCUUCACACCCAUCCAGGCCUUCACGCCCUUCCACGCCUUCAAAUCCUCCUUCUGGUGGAUACUACUCAUCUCCUCCACCAAGUACUCCUGUCGUUGUGACGCCACCAACACCCAUUGUUGACCCAGGCACACCCAGUACUGGAGGAACCCCUCCUUCUUCUGGUGGAUAUUACUCAUCUCCUCCACCAAGUACUCCAGUCGUUGAGACUCCACCAACACCUAUUGUUGACCCAGGCACACCCAUCGUUGGAGAAACCCCACCAACUCCUUCUUCUGGUGGAUAUUACUCAUCUCCUCCACCAAGUACUCCAGUCAUUGAGACUCCACCAACACCCAUUGUUGACCCAGGCACACCCAUCAUUGGAGGAACCCCACCAACUCCUUUCAUUGACCCUGGCACUCCUGGAACCCCCUUCCUUCCUGCUCCUUUUCCACCAAUCACUGGAACAUGCGAGUA